GAUGAACGCUGGCGGCGUGCCUAAUACAUGCAAGUCGAGCGAACAGAUGAGGAGCUUGCUCCGCUGACGUUAGCCGCGGACGUGUGAGUCACACGUGGAUAACCUACCUAUAAGACUGGGAUAACUUCGAGAAACCGGAGCUAAUCGCGUAUAAUCUAUUGAACCGCAUUGUUCAAUAGUGAAAGACGGUUUUGCUGUCACUUAUAGCGGGAUCCGCGCCGCAUUAGCUAGUUGGUAAGGUAACGGCUUACUAAGGCAACGAUGCGUAGCCGACCUGAGAGGGUGAUCGGCCACCCUGGAACUGAGACACGGUCCAGACUACUACGGGAGGCAGCAGAAGGGAACCUUACGCAAUGGGCGAAAGCAUGACAGAGUAGGGCGGCGUGAGUGAUAAAGGUCUUGGGAGCGUAAAACUCUGUUAUUAGGGAAAAACAAAUGUGUAAGUAACUAUGCACGUCUUGACGGUAACUAAUCAGAAAGCCACGGCUAACUACGUG
This 497-nucleotide ribosomal RNA is filed under the name uncultured bacterium. Its description in RNAcentral is "partial 16S ribosomal RNA". It matches the Rfam family "Bacterial small subunit ribosomal RNA", at positions 28 to 507 of the family's 1533-position model. The record is from RNAcentral.